UAGGGAAUCUUCGGCAAUGGGGGGAACCCUGACCGAGCAACGCCGCGUGAGUGAAGAAGGUUUUCGGAUCGUAAAGCUCUGUUGUUAAGGAAGAACGAGUGUGAGAAUGGAAAGUUCAUACUGUGACGGUACUUAACCAGAAAGGGACGGCUAACUACGUGCCAGCAGCCGCGGUAAUACGUAGGUCCCGAGCGUUGUCCGGAUUUAUUGGGCGUAAAGCGAGCGCAGGCGGUUAGAUAAGUCUGAAGUUAAAGGCAGUGGCUCAACCAUUGUAGGCUUUGGAAACUGUUUAACUUGAGUGCAGAAGGGGAGAGUGGAAUUCCAUGUGUAGCGAUGAAAUGCGUAGAUAUAUGGAGGAACACCGGUGGCGAAAGCGGCUCUCUGGUCUGUAACUGACGCUGAGGCUCGAAAGCGUGGGGAGCGAACAGG
Molecule: ribosomal RNA, 429 nt
Filed under: Bacteroidota bacterium
Lineage: Bacteria; Pseudomonadati; Bacteroidota
Description: Bacteroidetes bacterium partial 16S ribosomal RNA
Rfam family: Bacterial small subunit ribosomal RNA
Source: RNAcentral